AGAAAAUUAAACCACAAGCGAGCAACAAAUCAAAGUUCAUACUAAAACGCAGUCGGCAAUCUAAAAGACAGCGAGACCAAAGAACAUAGAACAUACAUAGAGCAUAGAACAGCACAGUACGAUACAGAACACGAUGAAAAUUAAGCCAAGAUGGCCCGGAAAGGGCCGACUGUUUGCAUGCAGCUUCAGAUGUUCCAACUUUGGACCACUACUUCUGAAAUACACAGCUUAUGGGUACUUCAAUAGUGUCUUUCAGUCUGGAUUAGCCUACGUGCACACACAGAGACCCGCUUCGCCCGGAGGAUUCCCACAUGGGACCCCACCCCAGCAAGCCCUCCCGACUGGAUUCCAAGUGAUGGGACAGGGAGCUCCCUGGCAUGCCUACAUUCAACAUAGCCAGGGUCAGAAUCAGAAUUAGCUCUAUUAUCAACGGCAUAUGUUAAAAAUUUGGUGUCUUUGCAGCAGCAGUACAAUGCAAUAAAACAAAACUGUGA
Long non-coding RNA from Mobula hypostoma (lesser devil ray), 494 nucleotides. RefSeq lists it as uncharacterized. The transcript is spliced from 4 exons. NCBI's taxonomy places the organism in Eukaryota, Metazoa, Chordata, Chondrichthyes, Myliobatiformes, Myliobatidae. The record is from RefSeq and is a predicted model, not a curated record.